CUCCUGUCAUUGUUUGUUGCCCCUAAUUCAAGUGGAGUUUCUAGCAAGUUUGUGUAUAGUGCAAUAGUUGACAUUGACAGAAUUUCUCAGUAUGAUUGGUGUCUACUAUGUCUGAGCUACAUGGUUUGUUCAAUAAAGAAAACAAGGCUGAAGAACACAGUGAGCAAAGAAAUCAUUCCUAGUGGAAGCAAGUUACUUAUGGUGAUAUCCUACUUUGAAUUCCUGAUAAUAACUGAAAUCAAGAUGCCGACUAGAAACAAGACUACCAUUAUGGUAAGGAAACAUGCUAAAUUCAUAUAUGGCACUUGAUGUUGUGCAUGGCAAAAGAAAUGAGUAUGGAAGACUACCGAUAAAACACAUGUCCUCAACUCCAUUCAUUGAUUGAAAUUACAUCUGCCUGAAGAAAUUGCGGAGUAUAUUGAAUCCAAAUUCUCAGAUAUUAGUCUAACACAAGAUAAAAUCAUUCUUCAAUUGAAAGCUCAAGAUUUCUAUAGAAAUAUCAUUCGGAACACAACUCCUACCAUGAAAACCUAUGCAGAUGACAUCCAUUCUUCAUUUCUGAAAACCAUGACAACUUCCAGCAGCCAAAAUGUGCAAAUUAAACCAACACUUUCAGAGAACACAUUCAAAGUUCCUAUGUCUAAAGAAUUGUUGGCUAUACAAUCACCUCGCAUAUUCCCAAUGCUAGAUGUUCCAACAAUAAUUGAUAAAGAUAAACGAGUCAACAUACAUGAAAUUCUUGAUUCAUUGGUCAAUGAUUUCCCGCAGUCUAUCAACAUAACAAGUACCAAUCUCUCUCUCUCUCUCUUUGUAUGGUAAUCUACCAUCUUUUGAACAACUUGCUUGCCCGAAGCUUUUUGUCAAGAGAUCAGUUCCAAAAGUAACACCCAGCAUUGAUGUUUCAGCACUGUUACAUCAUGUUUUUCUUCUCUAUAGCUGUUACUCAAUAUAUUUUUUCUCUGUGCCCAAAUAAAUAAUGAAAUAACUCGUACCAUAUAUUUUUUCUCUUGUACACAAUACUUGUCUGAAACAACAUCCCCAGAGAGAAGAGUAGAAGAAACAAAGUUCAGCUUUCCACCCUUCAGAUUCUUAUUACCAGGAGAGCGCCUGGAAUGUCAUUUCUCUUUACCAUUUCUCGUUUUUUUACAUUGAUUAUUUACAGGGUGCAGAUUAUUGUUCUAACUGUUUCUGUACUGCUUUCUUCUUUUCCAACCAGAUCUUGUUGAGCCUAAACUAAAUAAAGGUAGGUUGCUUCCUGAAAUCACAUAUCCAGUUGACAAGUCUCUCAACAGUACACCGCAUGGCAAUUCAAAUGGAGAAGCUGGUUCAAGCACUCAAUACGCACAAUCAGAUUAUCCUUCCUUUGAUGUAAUUACCAAUUCAAUUGACAUAGUACAGAAAGUUCCUUCUAAUUCUCAAAGAAUUGCAUCAGAACAAUCUAAAACUUUUGCAUCUCCUUCGUCUACUCAGUUCAGCCUCCCACCAAGUCAAUAUAACAACCAACAUCAUAAUUAUGCCAACACCAUUGUUCUUCCAAGUGAGAGCCCAAUAAGGAUGAUGGACUUCCUGUCACCAAAAGUAUACCCAAGCACUAUUGGCACACCCCUUGAAGAUCCUUUGUUAGUUCAAGCACUUGAACAACAUGAAACACAUUCCAGUAAGUUCUAUAAACCAGAAGGUUCAUCUUGGCAGCAACGCGUAAACAAUUCUUUCAAAUCUGGGACAGUAGUAAUCCAAGAUCAGAAGAAUGGAAAUAAGGAGGUCAUUUUUUCAACUGGAAUAGAUAAUGCCUUCUACCAAUCAUUGGUUGGACAUCUUUCCAAGUUAACCUACAGGAUCUAUGAGAUUGAACGAGUUUGGGUAGAACAGAAAACUAUAACACUAUCAUUCAAGACUGGCGGUUGGAUAAAUCCUCGGGUUGUUGACUAUUUUUCAAAACUAAGGAAUAAAGACCAGCUCAACCGAGGAAUAAAAGGCCUGCUUCCAAACAGCAAUUUAGUAGAACAUAUAGUUAGCAUUGAUGACAUGGUACGACUCAGGAAUUUCCCUCCUUAGUAUCUUAGCAAGUACAAAGGUCUCGGAAUGGAAGGUUUCUCCAAUGACGAUUUACAAGCUCUACGAGAGAAAUUUCUUUUUGAGAUCAUAACUUGCAAGGACAAUGAAAUCCAGCUUCCAUUCGUAACUUCUUUCCUACAGGGACAUGGGUUUCCGCAUUUUCAAGUGAAGCAUUCAACAUGAUUUCUGCAUAUGAACAAAGCUUUUAGGCAUUCAUUGCCAUUCGUUACUGUCAAGUAUAAUGGAAUCUGCACUAGAAGAAGUUCUCCUGAAUUUGCACUGAAAG
Molecule: long non-coding RNA, 2341 nt
Organism: Triticum dicoccoides
Lineage: Eukaryota; Viridiplantae; Streptophyta; Magnoliopsida; Poales; Poaceae
Exons: 9
Source: RefSeq, a predicted model, not a curated record